Molecule: ribosomal RNA, 254 nt
Filed under: uncultured bacterium
Lineage: Bacteria
Description: partial 16S ribosomal RNA
Rfam family: Bacterial small subunit ribosomal RNA
Source: RNAcentral
UACGGGGGGGGGCAAGCGUUGUUCGGAAUUACUGGGCGUAAAGGGCUCGUAGGCGGCCAACUAAGUCGGAUGUGAAAUCCCCAGGCUUAACCUGGGAACUGCAUCCGAUACUGGAUGGCUUGAAUCCGGGAGAGGGAUGCAGAAUUCCAGGUGUAGCGGUGAAAUGCGUAGAUAUCUGGAGGAAUACCGGUGGCGAAGGCGGCAUCCUGGACCGGCAUUGACGCUGAGGAGCGAAAGCUAGGGGAGCAAACAGG